AUCUACGGCCAUGCCACCCUGAACAAGCCCGGUUCCAUCUGAUCUCGGAAGCUAAGCAGGGUCGGGCCUGGUUAGUACUUGGAUGGGAGACCACCUAGGAAGACCAGGUGCUGUAGGCG
RNAcentral lists this ribosomal RNA (119 nucleotides) under Pteropus alecto (black flying fox). The record is from RNAcentral. Lineage: Eukaryota; Metazoa; Chordata; Mammalia; Chiroptera; Pteropodidae.